AGGGUGUGUACAUCUAACCAUGAACCACAGAACACACACACACUUUAAAUACCAUUAUCAACUGUCAGAUGAUCCAACUCGGUUUCACUCAAUGACACCAUCAUGGAAUCCUCAGCACCGUUUUUUUUUUUUUUUUUUCCUAAAUGUUGCUCACUGCUUGGAAAUCCUGGGGCUGGGUGGAGAGAGGAUCCUUGAGAUCACUCACAACAUCACAGCAGUCCUGGGAGAGGACGUCUACCUGAGCUGUAGUUAUCUGGGCGAGAGUGAGAUCCAGAGUGCCGAGUGGAAACGCCAGAUUAACUCCAAAAUUACAUCCAAGCGACUGGCUGGAUUUUUUAAUGGCAAACCAUUUAGCCGCGAUAACAUCUCAAAGCCAGAGUCUCUCACCAACCUCACAGUUAAGAUGAAGGUGUCCAAUGUGGAAGCGGAGGGAGAAUACAUCUGUGAGUUUGAAUCAGAGGAAAACCAGUAUUCUGACCGUGUAUAUCUCACUGUCGUAGCUCGGCCAGAUGUACAGAUGCUGGUGAACGCAGAGACCAUAAACGGCUCUCAGUACCAGUCGGUGUCAUGCUCUGCGGUCGGUGGCCGGCCUCUGCCUCAAGUCAGCUGGUUAGUCGCCGGCCGACCUCCUUCAGAUGACACUUUUGCUGUGGGCGUGAGUGAAACCAUUCACUCAAACGGCACCUCCACUCUGAGCAGCAUCCUCCGCUUCCCCACGCACCUGCAGGACGAGGACAGCGUGACUUGUGUGGUCCAACACCCGACCCUCCCAGACCCCAAAGUCACCAUGGUCAGGGUGGAGACCUACACGAGGCCAAAUGUGAGCAUUAAAGCAGAGAUGGUACAACAAGGAGGAAGUGAGUUCUGGGUGGUCUCGUGCAUUUCAUCUGGAGGGAGACCUGACGCUGACAUCACCUUGGUUUUGAACAUCCAUGAAGAGCUGCAGAGAGAGAACGACACAGACUCGGACAUGCAGACAAGCUCAGUCGUCCUCCCUGCAACAGUGUAUGAGGGCCGUAAUGUCACUUGUGUGUUUGACCACCCCAAAUUUACACAGCAAGUGUCACGAGUCAUGACACUGCCGUCUUUUUAUUUGUCUGGAGUUCAGUUGAUGUACUCAGAGCUGGGAAGCAACAGUGAUGACCUUCAAGGCACUCCACCUUUAGAGGUGCAGGAAGGACGGAGAGACACCGUCAUCAGCCUGCAGGUCACUGGGAAUGUGCCACAUUACAACGUUACCUGCAUAAAGGAUGCCGGGCCCUUGCCUGACGGUGUGGAGCUGGUUGGCAGCAGCCUGACAGUUCAGGGUCCUGUGGAGCAUCAGCAUGCCGGCCUGUAUGAAUGCUUCUUCUCCUAUCACCAUCUUAAAACAACGCUGAAGUUUAAUGUCACAGUUAAACCUCAAGUUAUACGGCCUGUUCCUCCAACAAUUCGAGUCGACUUGCAGACUGAAGAUGGACACUGGGUGAUUGAGUGCUCAGCAGCUGAUGCUGUUCCUGCAGCCAACAUGUCCUGGCUUCUACCAGAGGGUCUGUCUGGACUCUCUUGGUUCAAUUUCACUUCUCAUAAUGGAAGCCACUCUGUCAGGGGAGUUUUACUCCUCCCUGCCUGCUUGCCUUGGGAGCUCACUGCGGAGUGUGUGAUAAAUCACCCUGCGUUUGAGGAACCUGAGAACAGAAGUGUCACCCUCCCUCUUUGCGCUCACCCUGAAAUCACCAUCAACUCCAGCACUGAGUGGAAAGACGGUGACGAGUUCACGAAGGUGGACUGCUCGGUGGACAGCGUUGCCCCUGCAGCAAUCAUAAGCUGGCGCGUUGGAAACGUGGACAACAGCAUCAGUUAUGUGUCUGAGACCGAAGUCCAGGCUGAUGGUUCGGUAUCGGCCCGGAGCUCCGCCCAUGUCUUGUCAUCUCUGUAUUCUGGUCAGAAUUUGACCUGCACAGUGGAGCAUCCAAGCCUGGAGGUGCCAGAGAAAAGAUCAAUACACGUUCUUGUGCACAAAGCCCCUCUGCUGAGUGUGUCUCUGGUGAGACAGCAGGACUCUCCUCUCUGGCUGGCAGUGUGCGACUUCACAGGCGAGGGUGUCGGGGCUGACCUCGCCUGGGUCCUUCCCGAAAAUGCCAAAGGCCAAACAUCCCUGCACUCAGAGUAUGAGGGCUUCGUCAUUAAAGCCAGACUUACAUAUCAGUUUCCUCUGGCCCGUCAUGAGGGGGAGGACCUGACCUGUGUGCAUCUUUUUGAACAUGGUGCCACAGAGAAAAAGUCCAUUCAUGUCCCCAGAUACCAUAUCUCCUCUGUGAGAGUCCUAAACCACACGACUCCUCUGCAAAGCCGCUACGGUGGUGAAAUCAUCACACACAGACUGGCUCUCCAGGAAAAACUUCACGACCAGAGAGUGCUGCUCCGAGUCGUAGGCAACGUGCCAGAGUACAACCUCAUCUGUAAAAGGAGUGACGGCUCAUUUGUCCAAAUGGACGGGCUUGCAAUGGUCUUCCAGUCAGAGCUCAAGGAGCAGGAUGAAGGCCUGUACAGCUGCCGGGCGUCCUUCUAUCACCACACAGCCACAGUCAACAUUCAAGUGGAGGUCACGGACGAGGACAAGCAGCUCGCACUUGCCGCCAUGAUCUGCAUUUCUUCGGCCUCGGCCAUCAUCCUCGUCCUCGUCGUCACCCUCUGGGUGUGCUGCAAAAGACAAAGCCGGUCACAAUAUAAGAAAAAGGAGUCUCUUGCUGCCUUGACAUCCCUGACGCAAGAUCCCGGCUCUCCUCAGGUGAAGAAGCCGGCGGGGACAGAACAUAACAAUAAAGAAUACGCUCAGAUGGUCAGUUACUCCAUCGUCCUUGACAUCAAGAGCGCAGUGUGAAGAUAAAAAAGAAUUUAGACGUACACAUUCUGCUUUGCAUUGUGCACAAACUAGAUAUGAAGGCUUACUGGAACUGCAGGAUUUAUCAUUUCAGUGUAUGUUCUUAUGAGUUCAGCAUUAUAAGUGAAACAAUCCUUUUUAUGUACUGAAAUGUGAGUUAUUCGCAAGGAUUUUUUGAAUGAUAGGCAUUACUGAUUUUAAAGCAUUACCUUUGCACUUCUUCAUCGACAAAAUUUUGUUUAUUUUUUAUGUUCAUUGCUGUUGUCAAUAAAAUCAUCCAAAUAUCUUUUUUUUCUAUUUUCAUCAAGUUGUCCCCACAUGACUGAACUAAAACAAACACCUAUAUCUCCAGAUAUAGAGAUAACUUUAGCUUCCCACCAUCUGCCCUUGUGGUAUCUUUGGUCGACUAAAUCAGUGAGGACCAUCUGCUGUGACAACCGGAGUUAACUCUAUAAAUACAUUCCCAUACAGUUCAUGUACCAGAUGCACACUCAUCCUCAUCUCAUCUGCCCACAUUGGGAUGCAGUGCUGUUACACCCUCUUGUGGCCAAUGAUCACGCAACUGAGCGGAUCAGGUUUUAGUCACGACCUCCAAGUCCGUGGUCGCUAUGAAAUUUAAGUUUUCACUUUUUUUCUCUUCGCUUCUUUUACAUGUAUAGC
This 3523-nucleotide long non-coding RNA is filed under the name Cyclopterus lumpus (lumpfish). RNAcentral describes it as "lncRNA (ENSCLMG00005005756.1)". The record is from RNAcentral. Lineage: Eukaryota; Metazoa; Chordata; Actinopteri; Perciformes; Cyclopteridae.